UUUUCCUGAAGCUUCGUGUAGUUCUAUUGCGUCCUGCCGCGAGUCUGGACGGGAGUCACCGGGAGUACUGUGGCUUGCCGGAAAUCUUCGCCGGUAAAAUAGUCACCUGUCCAACAAAACAGAACACACCCACACACACCCACAAAAAAGCAGAGUAGAGAAUAGAAAGAAAAGAGCAGGAGUUGCCGGAAAUAAUCAAGAAUAAUGAUUCAAAUGUUCAAAUAUUAAAAAACAGCCAAAGCAAUAAAUCAGUU
Molecule: long non-coding RNA, 254 nt
Filed under: Nicotiana benthamiana
Lineage: Eukaryota; Viridiplantae; Streptophyta; Magnoliopsida; Solanales; Solanaceae
Description: long non-coding RNA (NBEN_LNC011812)
Source: RNAcentral